AUGCAAGUCGAACGGGAAACCUUUUAUUGAAGCUUCGGCAGAUUUAGAUUGUUUCUAGUGGCGGACGGGUGAGUAACGCGUGGGUAACCUGCCUUAUACAGGGGGAUAACAGUCAGAAAUGACUGCUAAUACCGCAUAAGCGCACAGAGCUGCAUGGCUCGGUGUGAAAAACUACGGUGGUAUAAGAUGGACCCGCGUUGGAUUAGCUAGUUGGUGGGGUAACGGCCCACCAAGGCGACGAUCCAUAGCCGGCCUGAGAGGGUGAACGGCCACAUUGGGACUGAGACACGGCCCAGACUCCUACGGGAGGCAGCAGUGGGGAAUAUUGCACAAUGGGGGAAACCCUGAUGCAGCGACGCCGCGUGAAGGAAGAAGUAUCUCGGUAUGUAAACUUCUAUCAGCAGGGAAGAUAGUGACGGUACCUGACUAAGAAGCCCCGGCUAACUACGUGCCAGCAGCCGCGGUAAUACGUAGGGGGCAAGCGUUAUCCGGAUUUACUGGGUGUAAAGGGAGCGUAGACGGUGUGGCAAGUCUGAUGUGAAAGGCAUGGGCUCAACCUGUGGACUGCAUUGGAAACUGUCAUACUUGAGUGCCGGAGGGGUAAGCGGAAUUCCUAGUGUAGCGGUGAAAUGCGUAGAUAUUA
RNAcentral lists this ribosomal RNA (643 nucleotides) under uncultured Lachnospiraceae bacterium. Its description in RNAcentral is "bacterial SSU rRNA". It matches the Rfam family "Bacterial small subunit ribosomal RNA", at positions 55 to 699 of the family's 1533-position model. The record is from RNAcentral. Lineage: Bacteria; Bacillati; Bacillota; Clostridia; Lachnospirales; Lachnospiraceae.